GACCGCCACCAUUAUCCUGCCGCGUGUGCUUCAGAGACACUGCCGUGCUCCCUGAAGAAUGUGGGCACUGUCAGCCCACAUGUUCCACGCUGUCUCGCAGAGGGCCCCUGGCACCCCCUCUCGAAAGCAGCUCCCCACAGUCACUAUGGUAACUCCUCCCAGCCAGGCGCGGUCCCGGGUGACGCGAACAGAGAACUCACCAAGCCGUGAACUGCAAGGGAGAACAAUUCAGUGCCCGGAGUUGCUGAAUCCCUUGAUGAAAUUUAUGGGAAUUCAGGAACGCUGUAUUCACAUGUAUCUGCCGGAGGAUUUCCAUGGUAUCCAUCUCGGGUCGUUCACGCAAUGAUCAGCACCUGCAGUUCCCCUGUCUCUCCAGACAUGGCCCAUCUCCUGGAUGAUGAGCUUUGUCUGAUUUCAUACAUCACUGCCUUAUACUGCAUGCUGAGCAACACAUUUGAUUUGCCUUCUCUUUGCUCUGUUUACUUUUUGAAGAGCUAACACCAGUGGGUCAGAAGGAACUCUGAACCCAGUUACGCUGCUAUUCUGGGUGAUUCUUUAAGGUGAAAAACAUAUUAGCAUACAAGACCUCACCUUAUUUGCUUUUCUGUCUUAAAACAGCAUUGGUUGCAAUAAGGUGUUAGAAAUCCUUUAGUUUUCCGAGCUGCCCCUACUGGAGGCUUUCUUCCAGUGAGCCCCUCCUGCCAGAGGGGCUAGGUUGGGAACCUCUUUGCUCUGGUUAGUUUUCAUUCCUUAUACUAUUUUGUUUCUACCCAAGCUUCACGUUUUUUUCUCAGUUUUUCUCACACACAGACUUUCCAGGUCACAGGUAUCAGAUGUGAUCCUCCACACAUAAGCUUUAAGAUCUCAGGUUCUGAAUCAGCUUGUUUAGGAACCUUCAAUUUACACUUGGGGAAUAGAACAGUAAUACUAGCCCUUCUCACAAACUGCAUUGUAAUAGUACUUAUGCAAGGUGCCAGCCUCUUAAUGCACCUAAAACUCCCGGGAAUUGUCUGCAGGUUAUUCUGUUUAUCACUUCAGCAUUUCUCCUUUAUUUAAAAUCUCUUUUACAAAAU
Molecule: non-coding RNA, 1073 nt
Organism: Taeniopygia guttata (zebra finch)
Lineage: Eukaryota; Metazoa; Chordata; Aves; Passeriformes; Estrildidae
Source: RefSeq, a predicted model, not a curated record